GCUUCUUCGUCUUCUUCUUCUUCUUCUUCUUCUUCUUCUUCUUCUUCUUCUUCGAUCUAGGAUGGGUUCCAGGCCGACAGCCUCGGAUAGCAAGGAUGGACGUCAUUCUUUUAUCAGUUGUUUUCGUUCGUAGUCGGACCCUGCUCUUCUUCAUGAUGAUUUUACAUUGUAUGUAUUGUAUUGAUGUGACUCUGAUGUA
This 199-nucleotide long non-coding RNA is filed under the name Hordeum vulgare. RNAcentral's name for it is "long non-coding RNA (HVUL_LNC016743)". The record is from RNAcentral. Lineage: Eukaryota; Viridiplantae; Streptophyta; Magnoliopsida; Poales; Poaceae.